This 253-nucleotide ribosomal RNA is filed under the name uncultured bacterium. RNAcentral's name for it is "partial 16S ribosomal RNA". It matches the Rfam family "Bacterial small subunit ribosomal RNA", at positions 524 to 776 of the family's 1533-position model. The record is from RNAcentral.
UACGAAGGGGGCUAGCGUUGCUCGGAAUCACUGGGCGUAAAGGGUGCGUAGGCGGGUCUUUAAGUCAGGGGUGAAAUCCUGGAGCUCAACUCCAGAACUGCCUUUGAUACUGAGGAUCUUGAGUUCGGGAGAGGUGAGUGGAACUGCGAGUGUAGAGGUGAAAUUCGUAGAUAUUGCAAGAACACCAGUGGCGAAGGCGGCUCACUGGCCCGAUACUGACGCUGAGGCACGGAAAGCGUGGGGAGCAAACGGG